GAAGGCAGCCAUAUCACCCUAUAGCCCAAGGCUAGUUACCCACUGAAGCAAAGCAGGGCUGAGCCUGGUCAGUACCUGGAUGGGAGACCUCCUGGGAAAACUAGGUUGCUGCUGGAA
RNAcentral lists this ribosomal RNA (117 nucleotides) under Sinocyclocheilus grahami. Lineage: Eukaryota; Metazoa; Chordata; Actinopteri; Cypriniformes; Cyprinidae. The record is from RNAcentral.